Molecule: ribosomal RNA, 493 nt
Filed under: uncultured bacterium
Lineage: Bacteria
Description: partial 16S ribosomal RNA
Rfam family: Bacterial small subunit ribosomal RNA
Source: RNAcentral
GACGAACGCUGGCGGCGUGCUUAACACAUGCAAGUCGAACGGAAAGGCCUGCUUUCCCUUGUGGAUUGCGGGUACUCGAGUGGCUAACGGGUGAGUAACACGUGAGUGAUCUGCCCCCAACUUGGGUAUAAGCCUGGGAAACUGGGUCUAAUUCCCGAUAGGACUGCAGGGUGGUGCCUGUGGUGGAAAACGAUUUUCUAGUGGUUGGGGAUGAGCUCGCGGCCUAUCAGCUUGUUGGUGGGGUAAUGGCCUACCAAGGCGGCGACGGGUAGCCGGCCUGGGAGGGUGGACGGCCACAUUGGGACUGGGAUACGGCCCAGACUCAUGCGGGAGGCAGCAGUGGGGAAUAUUGCACAAUGGGCGGAAGCCGGAUGCAGCGACGCCGCGUGGGGGAUGACGGCCUGCGGGUUGUAAACUCCUUUCGACCGCGAGGAAGCCAGCUGGUUGGAAGGGUGGUGACGGUAGUGGUAGAAGAAACACCGGCUAACUACGU